RNAcentral lists this long non-coding RNA (404 nucleotides) under Homo sapiens (human). RNAcentral describes it as "long non-coding RNA NONHSAT005699.2". Lineage: Eukaryota; Metazoa; Chordata; Mammalia; Primates; Hominidae. The record is from RNAcentral.
GAAAGUACAUUUCAGGGUCACCAUACAACAACUGUUCAAAAAGGCCUCCAAUAUGGGACAGUCCUAUUUAUUAUCUCAGAAAUAUUCCUCUUCGCUGGAUUCUUUUGAGCAUUCUACCAUUCUAGCCUAGCCCCUACUCCAGAAUUAGGAGGGCAUUGACCCCCAACAGGUAUUUCUCCCCUUGACCCCCUGGAAGUACCUCUCCUGAAUCCAUCUGUAUUACUUGCAUCAGGAAUUUCAAUUACUUGAGCCCAUCACAGCCUAACAAAAAAUAAUCAAAAACAUACAAUCCAAGCACUACUUGUUACAAUUAUAUUAGAUAUUUACUUCACCUUCCUACAAGUCUCAGAAUACUUCAAAGCUCCCUUUGUUAUUUCUGAUGGUAUUUAUGGCUCAACAUUUUU